GAUGAACGCUGACAGAAUGCUUAACACAUGCAAGUCUACUUGAAGCUAACUUCGGUUAGUGGAUGGUGGCGGACGGGUGAGUAACGCGUAAAGAACUUGCCUCACAGUUUGGGACAACAUUUGGAAACGAAUGCUAAUACCGGAUAUUAUGAUAGUUCCGCAUGGAAGAAUCAUGAAAGCUAUAUGCGCUGUGAGAGAGCUUUGCGUCCCAUUAGCUAGUUGGAGAGGUAACGGCUCACCAAGGCGAUGAUGGGUAGCCGGCCUGAGAGGGUGAACGGCCACAAGGGGACUGAGACACGGCCCUUACUCCUACGGGAGGCAGCAGUGGGGAAUAUUGGACAAUGGACCAAAAGUCUGAUCCAGCAAUUCUGUGUGCACGAUGAAGUUUUUCGGAAUGUAAAGUGCUUUCAGUUGGGAAGAAGCAAGUGACGGUACCAACAGAAGAAGCGACGGCUAAAUACGUGCCAGCAGCCGCGGUAAUACGUAUGUCGCAAGCGUUAUCCGGAUUUAUUGGGCGUAAAGCGCGUCUAGGUGGUUAUAUAAGUCUGAUGUGAAAAUGCGGGGCUCAGCUCCGUAUUGCGUUGGAAACUGUAUGACUAGAGUACUGGAGAGGUAAGCGGAACUACAAGUGUAGAGGUGAAAUUCGUAGAUAUUUGUAGGAAUGCCGAUGGGGAAGCCAGCUUACUGGACAGAUACUGACGCUAAAGCGCGAAAGCGUGGGUAGCAAACAGG
This 732-nucleotide ribosomal RNA is filed under the name uncultured bacterium. RNAcentral describes it as "bacterial SSU rRNA". It matches the Rfam family "Bacterial small subunit ribosomal RNA", at positions 28 to 776 of the family's 1533-position model. The record is from RNAcentral.